AUUGAACGCUGGCGGCAUGCCUUACACAUGCAAGUCGAACGGUAACAGGUCUUCGGAUGCUGACGAGUGGCGAACGGGUGAGUAAUACAUCGGAACGUGCCUAGUAGUGGGGGAUAACUACUCGAAAGAGUGGCUAAUACCGCAUGAGAUCUACGGAUGAAAGCAGGGGAUCGCAAGACCUUGUGCUACUAGAGCGGCCGAUGGCAGAUUAGGUAGUUGGUGGGACAAAAGCUUGCCAAGCCGACGAUCUGUAGCUGGUCUGAGAGGACGAUCAGCCACACUGGGACUGAGACACGGCCCAGACUCCUACGGGAGGCAGCAGUGGGGAAUUUUGGACAAUGGGCGAAAGCCUGAUUCAGCAAUGCCGCGUGCAGGAUGAAGGCCUUCGGGUUGUAAACUGCUUUUGUACGGAACGAAAAGCCCUGGGUUAAUACCCUGGGGUCAUGACGGUACCGUAAGAAUAAGCACCGGCUAACUACGUGCCAGCCGCCGCGGUAA
Molecule: ribosomal RNA, 498 nt
Filed under: uncultured bacterium
Lineage: Bacteria
Description: partial 16S ribosomal RNA
Rfam family: Bacterial small subunit ribosomal RNA
Source: RNAcentral